CCUACGGGAGGCAGCAGUGGGGAAUAUUGGGCAAUGGAGGCAACUCUUACCCAGCAAUGCCGCGUGAAUGAAGAAGGUCUUCGGAUUGUAAAGUUCUUUAAUUGGGGACGAAAAAAAUGACGGUACCCAAGGAAUAAGCCCCGGCUAACUACGUGCCAGCAGCCGCGGUAAUACGUAGGGGGCAAGCGUUGUUCGGAGUGACUGGGCGUAAAGGCGGUGUUGGCGGUGUAGCAAGUUAGAAGUGAAAAACCUAGGGCUUAACUCAGGUGCUGCUUCUAAAACUGCUAGACUUGAGUGCAGUAGAGGAAAGUGGAAUUCCUGGUGUAGCGGUGGAAUGCGUAGAUAUUAGGAGGAACAUCAGUGGCGAAGGCGACUUUCUGGACUGUAACUGACGCUGAGGUACGAAAGUGUGGGGAGCAAACAGGAUUAGAUACCCUGGUAGUC
This 444-nucleotide ribosomal RNA is filed under the name uncultured bacterium. RNAcentral describes it as "partial 16S ribosomal RNA". It matches the Rfam family "Bacterial small subunit ribosomal RNA", at positions 338 to 795 of the family's 1533-position model. The record is from RNAcentral.